This 12661-nucleotide long non-coding RNA is filed under the name Triticum aestivum (bread wheat). Its description in RNAcentral is "long non-coding RNA (TAES_LNC019541)". Lineage: Eukaryota; Viridiplantae; Streptophyta; Magnoliopsida; Poales; Poaceae. The record is from RNAcentral.
UUUUGACUUGUUACUUGGUAGGCGCAUCUUUUGUUAACGUUUUUUUAAUUGAGGGGCAUGCCCCCAAUUUCAUUUCAUUGCAUGAAAGGAAACCAAUAAACAAAGUGAGUAGUCUUAGAUUCCAUCCAGCCCAGAUGUCCUACCGUGACAUCCAGGCAUCAACAACUAGACAGCCAAGAGAAUAAAGCUUGAAACUAAAAAAAAGGAACUCCACACUUAUCAGAAUGCACACACAGGUGAGAGGUAACCACACAGGGCUCCUCUCCCCGCUCAUCGCCACAGACUCUCCAGGGAGGACAAAAGUUCAGCUAACAGUACAGGCAGAAUUACUUCCCAACGCCAAGACGUUUCACCAUGGGCGCCCAUCAUAUCCUCUGCUCUUGUUGAAGAACCCGUUCGCAACAUCAACCAGCAGUGCUGUGACGGCCUGCAACAUCCGUUGCCCUUCUUUUCUCUGUAGACCAGUGCAGUAGGACAUCCAAUAAGAGAUUUGAAAGAACAACAUACUAGGAUCAUGCGGGUAAACAUGAUGAAACGUAGCAGCAUUCCUGGCUUUCCACAAAGUCCAAAACACCGCAGAAACACCCGCUGCUAUUGUUUGUCUAAUAUUCUUAGGAAUUUUUUCUACCCAGGCAGUAAACUCUUCUAUCUUGCAUGGAAUGUCAUGAAUUCCAGUUACAUUCCUAACCACACCCCACACAAACUUAGCCACCACACAUGCACAGAAAAGAAGUUCAACCGUUUCUGGGUAAUCACAGAAGCUAUAGUUUUUAUCCUUUCCUUUCCAGUUUCUUUUCGCCAAAUUAUCUCUAGUUAGAACACUAUUCUUAAACAUCAACCACAGGAAAACUUUAACUUUCAGCGGUAUCCUCGCCUGCCACAGUUUCCUAUGAGGCCAGGCAGCCUGAUCUGUUUUUAAAGCAAGGUACAAAGAUCUAACAGUGAAUCUACCUGAUUUAGUUAGUAGCCAGCUACAUCUAUCCUCUUGAUCGUUUAAAACUACUUUACUGCAUAGAUUUUUUAGUUCAUACCACAUAUCAGCUGUGUCUCCCCACAAAACUCUUCUAAAUCUAAUCAAACUCAUAUUAUCAGAUAAAGCUUUGGCGAAAGUAAAAUCUAAACUAAAGGUCAGCAGAUAAAGCCUAGGGAAUUGCACACUAAGAGGUUUGUCUCCCAGCCAUACAUCACUCCAAAACAUAGUCCUUUCCCCAUUACCCACCAUCUUCCUACAAUAUUGCAGGAAAAUUGGUUUAACCUUCAUUAGGCCCUGCCAGAAAUGAGAAUGACCAGGUUUUUUUUACUAUCUCUAAGGGUACAUCUACUUGAGUAUUUCUUUCUCACUAAAUCUUGCCACACACCACUACAAUUUUCAAGUUUCCAGAUCCAUUUGCACAGUAAGCAGAUGUUCAUAAUAUCAAGAUCUAAGACGCCUAAACCCCCCAUCUCUUUAGGUCUGCAAACAUCCUCCCAUUUCACUAGAUGGUACUUUUUAACCCCUCCUCCUCUUGCCAUAGCAUUCUUUUAAUAAAAAAGUUCAUUUUCUUACUAGGGCCUUUGGGUAGCUCAAACAGAGAAAUCAUAUACAAAGGAAUAUUGCUUAAACUAGAGGUAAUUAAAAUCAAUCUCCCCCCAUAAGAUCUGUUCCUCCCUUUGCAUACACUUAGCUUCUUCUCCAUUUUCUCCUCAGCUCAAUUCCAGUUACAUAAUCUAACUGCAUUAAUAGGGACACCUGAAUAUCUAAAAGGAAGUUUUCCUACAACACAAGUAAAUAUUGUAGAGUAAUUUUCCUGUUUGUCCUUUGCUUCACCAAAACAAAAAACCUCACUCUUGUGAAAAUUAACUUUAAGGCCAGACAAUUGCUCUUUUUUUUGUGGGUAAUUGUUCAAAUAAACAAAGAACUGAUUUCAAGUUUCUAGCACUUUCCAGAUUGUGUCUAAACAUGAAAAUGGUGUCAUUAGCGUAUUGUAACAUAUUAAUGCCAUCUGGAAUUAAAUCCUGUGCUAACCCUUCGAUAAGGUCCAUAUUUUGUGCCUUAGCUAAAAACAAAUUAAGUAUAUCGAUGGCAAUAUUAAAAAGAAUGGGGGGAGAAAGGAUCUCCCUGUCUCAGUCCUUUUUUCGUCUAAAAAAGGGCCAAUUUGAUCAUUGACCAUGAUUGCUACUUUACCCCUCUCUACCGUCUGCUUGACACAACCAAUAAAUCUAGAUGAAAAGCCUUUUUUCUCCAUGACAAAAUACAAAAACUCCCAGUUAAUCUUGUCAUAAGCCUUCUCAAAAUCUACUUUAAACAAAACAUCACUCUUUUUUCCUAUGAACUUCAUGCAGAACUUCAUGCAACACAAUAACCCCAUCUAGUACCUAAUAAAAGCUGUUUGCACAGGAGCUACUAUCUUAUCAGCUACAGUAAUGGCUCUAUUAUUUAGAACUUCUGAAAAAUCUUGAAAAUCACAUUCAACAAACAGAUUGGUCUAUAUUGUUGUAAAGUUUGAGCAUCAGCAAUUUUGGAAUUAACGCAAGGACACCAUAAUUAAAUCUAGCUAAAUCUAACUUUCCUUCAUAAAAAUCACUGAAAAGCUCCAAAAUGUCCACUCCAAUUAUGUGCCAGCACUUGUGAUAAAAUUCUAUAGGAAAUCUGUCAGGUCCAGGUGCUUUGUUAGAUUUCAUAUCAAAAACAACAAUCUUAAUCUCUAAAGUAAACUUCCUAUCCAAAUUUUUUCUAUCGGCAUCACUCAAAACCACAGGUAAAUUAAUAUCAAGGGAAAUAUUAUUCAUACCUACAGCAGGACCAAAUAGGUUUUUGUAAAAUGAAGUGACAAAAGGCAAUAAAUCUUUGUCCCCCUGGAUCACAUCAUUAGGAGCAGUUUUAAUAGAGGUAAUUCUGUUUUUCCGUUUUCUACUACUAGCCUUAGAUAUAAAAUAAGAAGUUAAAGCGUCACCCUCUAAUAGUUCGUUCUCUUUCGAUCUCUGUAACCACAUUAUCUCCUCCUCUUUAUUAAUCUUUGAAAGUUCCUCCUCUAACUUUUUCCUUAACAUGUUUUUUUGAGCAAAAGAGGGUUUCCCCUCCGAUUUCCAUUAUAGAAACCAGGCCGAAGCCACGAGCAGUCUAGAAGUCUUACAAUAAGAAGCGGAACAGAGAGUAAAAGCGAAACCCGCGCAAGGAGUGGCCAGGGACACAGCCCCCACCCCCCGGAUAGUCAGAUCAUUACAAGUUUCCAUCACAAAAGGCUAAACGGAGGAGAAGACAAGUCUAAAGCAAAAGCAGCAGCAAGCUCUUGAAAUGUCGCAGCUUCCCUAAUCCUUCAGCCGCGGAACCCCGAAGCGCCAUCCUUGCGAAGCUUUGAAGAUCUCACUUGCCACCUGCUCGAUGAGUCUUGCCCCCAACGUCAGCGUUCUUUCCCCUGGGCCCUUUUUCUGCAAAAUAGCCCAAUCAGUAAUCCAGCAGCAUAUUCGUUUAACGAUCCCAAUCGGGUCGUUUACUUUUUCUUAUCAAACACAAUGUCAUUGCAAUUCCAAAUCGCCCAAAGCAGAGCAGAAGUGCCAAUCAACACCAAUUUUUUACUCUCUUUGUUAAAAUUGUUUAGCCACCCCCAAAACAGUCGUCAAUGUUUAUGGGAGUUUUCUAAAAGUCAAAUGAACAUCUCACCAGAUUCCAAAUGAUUCUAGCAACCGAAUAGGAGAAGAAAAGAUGAUCAAUGUUUUCCUCCUGUCCACAAAACACACAAUGUUUGUCCCCUUUCCAUCCUCUUUUCAAUAGGGUGUCUCUAGUAAGGAUACUUUUUUUGCUUAGCAACCAAAGAAAGAACUUGAUUUUUGCAGGUACCUUGACUUUCCACAGGAAUUUGUGUGGAAAACCCAUGUCAGUACGAACUAGGUGUCGAUAUAAGGAUUUUACAGUGAAUAUUCUGUUAGCAUUGAGCAUCCACAUGGGCUUGUCUCUGCCCCCGUGCAUUAAUAUGUCCUCACAUCUUCUUUUAAGGCUAUCCCACAGCCCCCCAUAGCCUCCAUCUAUAUUUCUUCUGAAAGACAUAGCAUUCCACCCUUUUUCAAUCACCCCUCUGACGGUAAUUUCUCUGUCAUUGCUAAUUGCAUACAAUGAGGGGUAUGCCUCUUUUAGUGGUUUGUCAUCCACCCACUAAUCUUCCCAGAAUCUGGUAUUUCUCCCAUCCCCUAGUUUUUUUUUAUGCGAGGGAAAACUAAAUUCUUGAUACUUAUCAGGCUAGUCCAGAAUUGCGAGUCCCCCUGUCUUUUUUAAUGCCUGACAAGCAUUUGUUCUGGAUAUAUUUAGAUCUAAUGAUAUCUUGCCAAAGUCCCUCCUCAGCUUCUAGUUUCCAAAUCCAUUUAGCUAGCAAGGCAAUGUUAAAUUUCUCUAGUUGAUUAGCCCGAGACCUCCUUGUUGUUUAGGAAGGCAGCAUGUUUUCCAGUUAACUAAACGAUACUUUUUUUUAUCCUCUUCCGCUUGCCAUACCAGUCUCGCCCUGAAGAAAUCAACUUUUUUCCUGACUCCAACAGGGAGCAGAUAGAAAGACAUCAUGUAUAUAGGAAUAUUUGUUAGGCACGACUGUACUAAUGUGACUCUGCCAGCAAUAUUGAGCAAUCUGCCUUGCCAGCACGCACAUCUUUUCUCUAUUUUCUCAGUUACAUUCCUCCACAUCCCAUUACUGAUCCUUUUAUCAUGUACUGGUAGGCCUAGGUAUUUCAGUGGCAUCUCCCCAAACGCACACGUAAAAAUCUCUUAAUAUAUAUCUUUCUGCCUUAGCUUCUCCAAAGAGGUAUAUGCCACUUUUGUGAAAAUUAAUUGUGAGUCCUGACAUUUGUUCAAAAGCAGUCAGAAUAAAUUUGAGAUUUCUCGCUGACACCUCAUCAUCCUGGAUUAGGAAUAUGGUGUCAUCUGCAUAUUGCAGCAUGUUCACUCCAUUUUCAUGAUUGUAUGUGAGAACCCCUUUAAUAAAUCCCUUAUUUCUAGCUCUGUCCAUAAUAAUGGCCAGGGCGUCAAUAGCUAAAUCAAACAAUAGGGGGGAUAAUGAGUCCCCCUGGCGAAGCCCUUUAAAAGUUUUAAAAAACUUUCCAAUAUUGUCAUUUACCUUCACACCCACUUGUCCCCCCCUCAUGGUGUCCAUCACCCAGUCACACCACUUGCAGGAAAGUUUUUGAGUUUCAGCAUUUUAUGGACAAAAGGCCAUUUGAUUUUGUCAUAUGCAUUUUCAAAAUCUACCUUCAAUAUUAUAGCAUUUUGUUUUUUCAUUUUGAUUGAAUUUAUAGCUUCAUGUAGGAUCACCACUCCCUCCAUAAUGUAUCUGCCUUUCACAAAAGCAGUUUGAAUGGGGGAGAUGAUGGGGUUAACAACCUUACUAAGCCUGUUCAUCAGGACUUUAGUGAUGAUUUUGAAGCUGACAUUCAACAGGCAAAUGGGUCUGAAUUUCUGGAUCUGUUUGGCAUCUUGACCUUUGGGACCAAGGUAAUGAUCCCAUAAUUCAACCUAGCUAAAUCAACCACACCUCUGUGGAAAUCAUCCAUAAUGUUUUUUAUAUCAUUCUUGAUUAAAUCCCAGAAGUUCUGAUAGAAUUCAAUAGCAAAUCCAUCAGGGCCUGGGCUUUUGUUUUUUUUCCAUGGAGAACACCACUUCCCUAAUCUCUUCCAUGGAGAAGUCCUUAACCAAUUCAUCUUGUGUUUGAGGAGAGAUCUCUGCAGACCCUUGUAUGUUAAGAUUGAUAGUAGAGUUUUCAGCUUGAUCAAAAAGAUUUUUAUAGAAUGUAGUGAUAUACUCAAUCAGUUCUUUCUCUCCCUGAAUCACACCCUCAUCCUGUUCUAACCUGACAAUCCUGUUCUUCUCCUCCCAUUCACUUUGGCAUGAUAAUAUCUAGUAUUGGAAUCUCCUUUUAUUUCCUUAUCUUUGUAUCUCUGUAACCACUUGAUUUCUUCUAAUUUGAAGAUUUCUUUCAAUUCCCUUCUCAAUUAUUUCUGCAUAAUUCUUUCUUGGGCAUUAAUCCCUCUCAAUUCUGCAUUUUUAUCUAUCAUGUCCAGCAUAUUUAACAGUUCCUUCUUUCUUUUCCUAUACAUAGCAUUAGCAUUUAACCCACCCUUUGAUUUUUUGUCUAACGUUUCUGAGUAUUUUUUGCCAAGUGUCCAUACUAGAUCCAUUACACCUCACCUCCCAGUUUUUUUCCACAAAUUCCUUAAAUCCUUCCAUAUGCAUCCAUGCAUUUUCAAAUCUAAAAAUGGGAGGAGCAUUUCUCUGCUCACCAGAAUCCAACAGCAGUGGAGUGUGAUCUGAAAUCUCUCUCUCUAAUGUUGUGACCAUAGUCAUGGGGUAUUUAUCUUCCCAAUCUGGGCAUACCAAUACCCUAUCAAGUUUCUCAUAUGUAGGGUCUGGCAUAUUAUUUGCCCAAGUGAAUUGUCUCCCACUGAUUGGGAUGUCUCUUAAUCCAGCAUGUUCAAUAAUAGCAUUAAAAACAAAGCUGAAGUGAUCCACCCCAGGUUUAUUUUUCUCUGCACUGUUUCUAAUGAUAUUGAAAUCCCCCCAAUGACACAGGGGAGAGGGUUAUCUUGAUACAAUCUAGAUAAUUCAGCUAAAAAAGAUGCUUUCCCUUUUCUUUGAGCAUCACCAUAGACAGUCACCAAGUUCCAACUAAACUUAGCUUUUUUUAUCAAAAAGUAGUGUUCUGAUAAAAUAUGUGCCUUUUUCCACUUGUAUCAAGUCAAAAUUAUCAUUAUUAAUUCUUACCAAUAUUCCUCCAGAUUUGCCUCGAGGGGCAAUCCAUUCCCAGAGAAAAAAAAUUCCCCCCAGCAAGGUUGUGCAAUUCAUUUUUUGUAAAGUCACCCUUAAUGGUCUCCAAAAGGCCAACAAAAUCUAAUUUUUUUUCUAUGAUUGCCUCUCUGAUAAAGUUUUUCUUUGUGUCCUGUCUAAUCCCCCUCACAUUCCAAAAUAUUCCUUUCAUUGUUUCUUUUUCUUCUUUCUCCCUCCCCUAAAAGAUAUAGCAAGCUUCCCAGCACUAGCAGCUGAGGUGCCAAUCUUAAUUUUUCUUAUUACUAGAGAAUAUUUUCCUCAAGGUGUCAUAGUAAUCAAGAUCCAUUUCUGUAUCAGAGUGAUCAUCACCUGAGCAUAGUUCUUCUAGUUUAGCAUCUCCAAUAUCAAUUAGAUUUGGAGAACUUUCAUUUUUUUCUUUUUCCUCUUGAUGAUAUAUAUCUCUUCUACCCUGUUCCAUAUUGGAGAUCAGGUCUAGGUUUUGGCUGACCAGGUCAAUAGUACACCCCAGCUCCACCCCCACUUUCUCUGUCAUUUCAAACAAAGAGAUUUGAUCCUUAGUAAGGGUUGGGGACUUACCAUAGUUAUCCUUGUCAGCAGCUCUCUCCUUAGCCAGAUCUUCAAUCUUGGAGUCCUUUUUGUCUAGAUUUCUGUCACUUCUUCUGGUUGGUCCUUCUUUGUCUUUUUCUUUCUUCUCUUUAUCAGAGAUCCCCAGUUUUGAUCCCAGAGAUUCCACAGAAUCCUGGCUAGCAUUAUAAUCCACUGGUUCAGUGUAAUUGUCUUCUAUCAGAGGAUCUUGAAUAUUAUCUUUAUCAGAGUCAUUUUUCUCUCCAGGGAGAUGUUUUCUUUGUUUCCUUCAGCAUCUACUCCACCAAUCUUGAUCUUUUUCCUCAUGUCUGCAGUUUCACAUUCUCUGUCUGUUUCAACAUCCACAUGUUUCCUCUUAUCUUCAUACCACCCCUGUUCCACCACUUUUUCAAGUUCCAAGGUGACUUUGUAUAUCAUGAGGUCUUUGUCAGUUACUUCAGUAUGUGUAGGAAUUUUUUCAAAAUCUCUCACUCCUACCCUGGCUCUGAUUUUUUCCAGCAAAAUUGUUGUCAUAUCUAUCUCCAGGACUAGGCCAACAGUGGCAGCUACUAAACAAGCCCCAAAAAAUGUCUGAAACACUCAGGCAUUUUGCCAAUUUUCACCCACACAGUGUGCAACUUUCCUAUGGCUUGUGUAUCAUAGGUCCAACUAUCCACAUUUAUGAUAGCCUUUGUCCCCAGCAGGUUAAAGUUUCUAAACUUGUGUAAUUCAGUCAGUCUGCUCUUGUUGGGGAACCUCAUGAGAUAAGCCCUGUCUCCAUGUUUUUGCAUCUCCAUUGCCAGUCCCAUUUGAACAUGUAGUUAAACCCCUCCAAGAAUUGUGUCUCAUUGAUCUCCCCAGAGGCAAUAGUGACAAUUCCCAUCGGGUUAAUCUGCUCACUACUCACCACCUCCUUGGAAUUUUGAACCAAGAGCACUCCCAAACCUCUGGCUGCAUAUCCAACAUAUUUAGGCAGGGGCUUAAUCUGUUUCAUCCAGUUGCAAUCUUCAGUGAUGUGAGAAUUUUUUCCACACAUGAUACAGUUAGGAAGCUUGCAAUCUCUAGUUUGAUGUCUGAAAUCUUUGCACUUGUUACAGGGAAUUCUGAAGUUGUUCCCACUUUUUCCUAGAUCAGGGCCUUCUCUCUGUGGAAAUCUGCUUCCCCCCCCCAAGCGCUUUGGUUUUGCCUGGAUCCAGAACCAUUAUCCAUAUCUCCUCCGCAGCUAACCUCUCUGCUUUGUAUCCCUUUCUCUCUCUCACCCUCAAUCAUCAUCCCCUCCUCUCGCUGCUUGUCAGCUCCAGUUACCAUGCCAACCCCCUGCUGUGCCAUCUGGGCAAGGAGAGCCCCAAACCACUGUUGCUGUUGAAGAAAUUCAGGAGGGGGAAUGACACCAGGGGCAGGAUCUUUACCUUUGUCCUCAGAUCCGGCUCUGUUAGCCUCUGGCUUGCCCCCCCCUCUAUCUUUGUCUUCUGUAGUUCUACCAGCAUCUGGGAGCUGCGUCCUGCCUCCAUUCCCCUGGUAGCUAGAAGUCCAAUGGUGGAUCUUGAACUACCAAUCUGAGAGAAAGUGCCUUUGUAUCUGUCCACAUCUUCUUCUUUCUUUCUGUAAUGGAAGCCAUCUCUACCACCACGGUUGAAUCUUCCCCCUCCACGAUUGUUCCCAAAACAUCUGUUCAUCUCUUCUACUUUCUCUCUUUCUGGUGGCGGCGGAAGAGGUGGAAACCCUAAAUCCUCGAGGGGGUCACACUCUUCACCCCAUAGGGAGAGGCGCUUUAUUUAUAUUGCCAAAACUUUCAGAAAGCGUAUUUACCAAAGGCGUUUCUCCCCGUUGCCCAUUUUGCCCCCAUAUCUCACUUUCCCCAAAUUCUCCUUCUCUGGCAGAGUAAUCCCCCACACAACAACCCAAGCCAUUGGUGAUUUCCAUUUCCUCUAUAUAGUUUGCCUCAUUAGACCAGAAAUCUGGAAUUUGGGCAUAUUUAAUUCUACUCAUUUUAUUAACAACCUCCCUUCCCAGUAAAACCUGAUCAGGGGCGAGCAUCUCUCUCUGUUUUCCCAUGAGCAGGGCUGUUAACACACUUCUCAUCACUACUUUCUAUGAUUUUUGCAGCUAUCAGCCGCUUUUUUUUCUUCUUAUUAUUACUUCUAUUAUCACCUAUCGAUGUAGGUUCACUGCCAUAUUUGGAAAUAGGGGGGAUCGUACCUUGCAGAUCCAACGGGAGCCCAAGUCUCCUCGUCGGAAACCUCACCGGCGAGCAGCCAGAAGCGGCCGCCCACCGGCGAGGCCCCUACUCCCGUCCCUGGGAGCGAGCGAGACCGAGCAGGCGUGGGAAACGGCGAGGGAAGCGCGGUGACCUCCUCAGAACCAACGGCAUCUUCUGGAUCUUCUUCGUCCCAAGCUUCAUCCCCCUCCUGCCCUCGGCGCGCCCCAAAUCUGGCCGCCUCUCCACCACUGCAGCCCUGGGCACAACCGGAGCUGGGGCGGGGAGACCCAUCACCGCGCCGACCACAAAUCCAGGUGGAUCCGCAGGGACGGUGCGACGCGAACGAAACGCGAUCCACUUCAUGGCCUGCAUCUGAUCGUCUGAUUCCGCCUCCUUCAUCGCCCACAACAGCAUCCGGAGCGCCCCCACCGGCUCGCCUGACGGAGUGAGGCGCCAGUCCUCCGCCUCGGUGAGCCUCCGGUAGGCACACCCCGCCGCCUCCUUCAGAUUGCUCUCCGUCGAGAACCUGGAGAUGAUCUCCCUCAGCUUCGCCAGCUUCUCUUCGUCGCCGUUGGCUAUCACCAGAACCCUCCUCUCGAGUCUCUGCUUCCAGGAAUCCAUGACCCCGCCUUCGGAGAGCUCGCUCGUGAGAGAGAAGGGAGGUGGUUUUCGUCGAGAGGGGAGGGAAUGGCCGCUCCGCUCCGUGCCGCAACUUUAAUCCGCCUCCCUUCCCGACGUUCUCUCUCCUCCGCCUCGAUCUGCGCUUCACGCCGCGCCUCCGCCUCGGGACUCAAUCCCCUGCCGACCAAAACAACAUGACAUGGAAACCGCACCUGUGUCCCCUCCCCAUGUACCCGCAUCGAGUCGACCCGUACGCCGCGGUCGUCGAGGAGGGAACACCGGGGAGUCACCGCGUCGGAGUAGGAUGCCCCGCUCGUAGAUCUUUCCUUAACAUAUACUCCCUCCGUCCAGAAAAAGUUGUCUAGCGCUUAGUUCAUUUCUAAUUUUGCAAAAAAAAAACUUCCAUCUUCAAAUCUCUUGCUAAUGAGCCCCCCUGCUUCUUCCUCCUUUCUCUGUCGGCCGCGUGCACCGUGGCCGCCCAAGCCACCAUUGGCACCCGUCGUAGGCCGAGCGCGUGACGACGGCCACGGCCUGCGCUGCCGCUGUGAACCACCACCGCCCAUGCCCACCUGCGCCGCCCGAGGCGAGCUGCUCCACUGCUGUGAACCACCGCCGCCCGAGGCGAGCUGCGCCGUCCACCUGCUCCACUGCGGCGACCACCUCGACGGGCGGCGGCUCCACGGCUGAGGGGCGCUGCGCUACCGCCAUCUUCUCCCGCCGUGACCCCUUCCGCCGCCCAGGGCUACCCCGCUAUCCCCUCCCGCCGGCCAGGGCCUGCGCCCGCCUGGGUCUCGAGCGCCUGGACCUGGAGCUCCUGGCGGGCCUGGAACUGAAGUUCAUCCUCAACCUCGAGCUCCCUGUCGUCUCCCCCACUCCUCUCCUCGACCUGCUGCUCGUCUGCAAGUUGCUGUUCCUCCCCGGCGGGCCUGCUCGUGCUGCUGCCGGUGAGAAGAAGAACCCAAGCUCCAAUUUCUGUACAUUGCACUUGUUCAUUAAUUUCAAACACAAUUGAUCAUGUACUCUGCAGAAAUGUUGCAAAAAAGAUUUAGUUAACACAGAAGUUAACUGAAUGUGUCCCUCAAUGUCCAAUGUUCAUCAGUUAACUGAACGUUAACAGAACUAAACUGAAUCUUUGGAUAAUUUCUGAUCCUCACCUAGAGUAUAAGCAAUUUCUGAUCUACUGUUACUGUGGAUUAAGUUGGAUUAAGUUGGAUAUUGUUGGACUAACAUGAUUUUCUAGACAUAGCCCUAAAAUUUCUACACACUGAUUUGACAAGCAAUAUUCCAUUACAGAGAACAUUUACACUGAAAGUAGAACAUUUACACUGAAAAAUUGGACCCCCAAGAAACUGUAUUCAGUGAUCUUGUACUCUGAAAGUAGAACAUUUACACUGAAGCUUCAAACAAAAUUUCAGUGAUCUUGUACUCAGUUUAGUGGCAAUCAGACUUGAGAUGCAAAACUAAAGCUUCGAAACUGAAACAAUGACAAAAUUACUUGCCACAUCAUGAAACAAAUGACAAAAUUACUUGAAAAGGAUUACUCCAUUUAUCUACCUCUGUCAUGAAAGGAGUACUAGACAGCAGCAAUAGUACACCAAGUACUGCCGGCCGCCCUCUAACUAAUUCAUUCAUGGAUGAUUUUAAUCACUGACUCAUCCUGCUAGAUCCAUCACUAAAACUAAUUAGUAAUUUGAUUUAUCUAACAUUUGUUAGUUGAGAAUAAAUGUUCACUCUUAUCUCACAUUUGCUAGUUGAAAUGCAUAAAUUCAGUUGUUCAAGUUUCAAUCUAAGCUAGAAUUUCCAGUUUACACACAGAUGUUGUCAGGCCAAGUGUGAUGCCCUAGUGAGACUGAGGUUGCGGCCUAUUAGGUAAAAAUAGGAUGAGCUACUAAAGAAAUUUGCCAAUUAGCCCAUUGUGUCCCCAAGUGUGAUCACACAGAUGUUGUCAGGCCAAGUGUGAUCCCCUAGUGAGAUUUGUCUGCCAUGUUUUGCUAACUGAAGAAAUACCAGUUGGCCGGCAUGCAGUCUUAAGCAAAUGUCAGAAGCAGCAAAUUUCAGUAAAAAAAAAUCAGUUUUGACACAUAAAUCAUGGAGGGGAAUUGAAGGAGGGAGGCUUAACCUUCCAAGAAGACGCCACCGUCGUCGUCGAGCUCGCAGUACAGUAUGUGCAGGGAUGGUGGAGCUCGCAGUACAGAAGACGUCUCCGCCGCCGUCGAGCUCGCCAUCGAGCUUGCUGUCGUCGGGCUCGUCGGCUACGUCUCCUACCGUCUGGCCUCGCAGCCACCAUAUCAGCCUCGCCGACGCCGGAUCUGAAGCAGACGGAGCAGAGCGCGGAGGUCACUAGGGAGGGGGAAGCUAGGGGAGGAAGGCAAGCUGGAGCUGCGCGAGCAGGAGAGAGUGGCGGAGGAGGCAGUUACGGCGGCGGUGAGCUGUGGCGGUGGUGGAGCAAGGCAGUUGCGGCUUCUGUCGGGGGAGGUCAGAAAAAUCAAGGCUUCUCCUCGCCCGGGGAAGCGACGCGUCGGAGGAGGAGGGGA